RNAcentral lists this transfer RNA (67 nucleotides) under Pseudoregma bambucicola. RNAcentral describes it as "tRNA-Gln". Lineage: Eukaryota; Metazoa; Arthropoda; Insecta; Hemiptera; Hormaphididae. The record is from RNAcentral.
UAUAUUUUAGUGUUUAUUGCCUAUAAAUUUUUCAAAUAUAACCUUUAGUUUAAUUCUUUAAAUAAUA